AGUGAACUUCCAUUGGAUGGAUUUGCCUUUCUGAUAUCGUCAGAUGCAAUAGUAAUUCCCUUUCACUUUGCAGCUGCCUGCAACUGGUGCAAAGGCUUGGACUGCUGCUAUACCAUUGAGUUGGAGAUUGGGGAGUGUGGCCACAAUAUUCAGCUCAGGAUACCCUGGUUGUAAUCAAAAAAUGGCACUGAAAAUUGCAAGGGAACGUGAAGCUGUGAAGGUAACUGAUGAUAUCAUCAAUUCUGAGGAUAAGCUCCUCGCUCUGUUUUUGAGGUGGUUAUCAAUUAAUGAACACCAUUUCGAUGUGGAUGAUAGAAAAGCUUUCAAAGAGAGAUUUGAAAUCUUCAAGAAAACCGCCCGGCGUGUCCAUAAACAUAACCAAACCAAGUCUUCCUGCAUUCUUGGAUUAACCUAUUUUUCAGAUUUGACUCCAGAUGAGUGUGUAAACUUGUCGUAUAAGGUCUAUCCAAAGAAAGAGGUCAAGAAAGAGGUCUAUAUCUAAAUAUUUAAGAAAACUAAGUCUUAGGAAUCUAGUUCUAUUAUAGAUUUAUGAUGCUGUUUUAUGGAUGCUAGUGGUCUAGUAGCAAGCUGUAUUUUGUCUGUAUUUUUGUUUUGAAGUCCAGUUUGGCAUAGGACAUUUCCUCAAUUUCC
Molecule: long non-coding RNA, 651 nt
Organism: Papaver somniferum (opium poppy)
Lineage: Eukaryota; Viridiplantae; Streptophyta; Magnoliopsida; Ranunculales; Papaveraceae
Exons: 2
Source: RefSeq, a predicted model, not a curated record